Molecule: long non-coding RNA, 470 nt
Organism: Mauremys reevesii (Reeves's turtle)
Lineage: Eukaryota; Metazoa; Chordata; Testudines; Geoemydidae
Exons: 4
Source: RefSeq, a predicted model, not a curated record
AAAUGAGGAGUCUCUGCCUAUAAGAAGCUAUCCCCAGCUGGAGAUGAGCGGUUUGGCCGCCGCUGUUCUGGGAAGGGAUGUGCAUUUGAACCGGUAGGGACUGAGUGCUGUACCUGUAAUAAUCCUCCUUGCAGUAAAUACUACCGUCCUUGGCAAAGCAGCCGGGACCGCUCGAGCCCUGUCCUGUGUGUGGCUGUUCCCUGCCCGUCUGACUGAAGCUGAGACCGAGCAAACUCAUCGCCUGUGCCCGGAGCCUAGAGAGCUACGGUGAAGGAUACACUAGCUGCUGCUGCUGCUGCUGCUCCAGCAAAGAAGGCCAGGGGUUUCUUAAGCUUUUUCUCGUUAACAUCUUAAUGUUGAGAGACCACUCCUGACCUAGAGCGACACUAAAACUUUGUUGCUAGCAUCAAACGUGACUUCUUCAUUUCCAAAAGGCCCGUAGUAGACCAAGGCACUUGCUAAUUUGGACA